AUUGAACGCUGGCGGCAUGCCUUACACAUGCAAGUCGAACGGCAGCACGGGAGCAAUCCUGGUGGCGAGUGGCGAACGGGUGAGUAAUAUAUCGGAACGUGCCCAGUCGUGGGGAUAACGUAGCGAAAGCUACGCUAAUACCGCAUACGAUCUAUGGAUGAAAGCGGGGGAUCGCAAGACCUCGCGCGAUUGGAGCGGCCGAUAUCAGAUUAGGUAGUUGGUGAGGUAAAGGCUCACCAAGCCGACGAUCUGUAGCUGGUCUGAGAGGACGACCAGCCACACUGGGACUGAGACACGGCCCAGACUCCUACGGGAGGCAGCAGUGGGGAAUUUUGGACAAUGGACGCAAGUCUGAUCCAGCCAUUCCGCGUGCAGGAUGAAGGCCCUCGGGUUGUAAACUGCUUUUGUACGGAACGAAAGGUUUCUAUUAAUACUAGGAGCUCAUGACGGUACCGUAAGAAUAAGCACCGGCUAACUACGUGCC
Molecule: ribosomal RNA, 484 nt
Filed under: uncultured bacterium
Lineage: Bacteria
Description: bacterial SSU rRNA
Rfam family: Bacterial small subunit ribosomal RNA
Source: RNAcentral